UUAAAUGAUGGCCAAAGCGUAAAGCCUAUGUUACUUGAGAUGACAUAGCCAAUGUUGUAAUAACUAUCUAACAAUCUUAAAUGUUCAUUCCUAAUUGGUCAGGGCGGUUGCUCAGUAAAAAUAUUUAUCUAUCUAUUUUUUUUCAAUAUAUGUGUAUAUCUAUCUAUCUAUUUAUCUAUAUAUGUGAAAUAAGUAAUAUAAAUGGAAUAAGAGUCUCGGAUAAACGGUCUACGUUUGCAAAUUAAUUCAAACCUAUUAGAACGUGCCAUCUCAGCAUUUUUAGGCAUGUCAUCUAACUGAACAUCCACGUAAUAUUUUCGGCAAAUAAAAAAAAAAAAUUGGCCAACAAUCUAAGAGCCUCCUUCUUCCUCCAAUUUCCAAAGACCUGGCUAGGGAAAACUGAACAUCAACCGUUCCAUUAUAUAUUUUCAUCUCCCUUGCAAUUGAAUUCUCAUCUAAUACAUUUUUGAGCUUUAUAACAUAUAAUGACCGACUCUUACAAGUCCUUUCAGUUGAAGAGACCCAUCCUCAAACCUUCCAGUAAGUUAAAAUCAAACGCCAAUCAAUUGAUGAAAUCGUCAAAUCUUCUCAGCAAGGUUCCCUCUCUGGUUUUCUGCACAAUUAGUUUCUGAUAAUCACAUUGGAGGAAUAUAUCGUCACCAGACUGUGAGGCCAUCAUCCUUAUGUUAGAAGCCUGUAAUCCAGCUGAAGCUGGGAUGUUCAUCAAACUUGAGCGUCUAAUCAUUAGUGAACAAGUACUCCUUUAGUAUUUUCCUCUCGUUUUAAGAUUUAUAAAGUUUGUGGUCUCUAAAGUCGAUUCACACACAACAGACAACCGCAAAGGACUGUGGCUUCUGGAUCUUUAUUUGAUUGUUAUGCUUUAUGUGCUUUGCUGAUUGUGCUGGUUUGUGGAGAACAAAUUGCAGAAUUUUGCUUCACAACACUCAGAUGUCCUUGAGAAAACUUGAAUCCGACAAUCAUGAACCGUGUAGAGAUUCUAAGAGAGAUCCAGGGGAGACAGACAAUCUUCCAGUUAGAUGAAUAUGUACAUAGUCUUUUACUUAUUCCUUUUAAAUUUUGCAUUGCAGGACCACCAUGAUGAAAUGGAAUCAAGGAGAGGCAGCGGUAGAAGCUUAUUAUCAGAAGUUGUAUCAACCUUUGUAUAUAAAGGUAUGGAAAUGAUCUUCUAUUUGUUGCUUCUUACUUAAUAUAUCAAUUGGAGUUAAUAAAAAAAAUUGAGAUUGAGGGACGUGAAGGACAAGAAUACACUCCUCUACGUCCACAGCUCCACUUAUCCUCCUCCUUGGUUCGUGAUUAUGUUCUGGUUCCAAUUCUCUUCUUCUUUUCUUAUCCCUCAUGCUUAUAACUGAUAUUAAUAGUUCUCUUUCUUCUCAACGUAGUAGUAGGAUACAACUUGAUAUGUCCUCUCUCUCUCGUAAAAUUAUAACUGACGUUGAUGGUUUUCUGCUUUUCUACCGCAUUGUUCACAUUAAACAGCUUUGUGAGAUUAUGAAUGGUGUGGUUGAAGUUGAAAGUGCACCAGAAGAAGUAAAAACAGAACAAGGCGAAGAUAAAACUGCUGAAGGUGUGUUAGAAACUACAACCUGAUUAUCUUUUUUGUUUUCAAUGCAGGUGAAAUUAUGUUUCAACUUCAACUGAUACGAAUAUCUGGAAGGGGUACCGGAUUUCUUGCAUAUUGCACUGGAGAAUUACCCCUGAGUUUUGUUCCGUAUUACAACAAGUCUUAUUGACCCUUAAAACUGUUGUUCUUGAUGGAGAUUGAGUGGUAUCCUCGAAAAUGUUUGACUCAGAUGGUUAUGUUCUAUAAAAUAAGGCAAAGAAGGGAUCCAAAAAGACAAAGCCGACCAUUAAGACUGAGGAUUGUGAUACUAUAACUUCGGAAACUCAUUUGGUGGUACUCUUUGUUGUGUUCCAGUCACCGGCUCGGCUGGGCAGUAAGUUUGACAAUCACUCAUACGUCCUCGACUGAGUGAUUGUCAAACUUACUCCAAGGGCUGUUGCUAACCUGAGGAGGACGAGGAUGAUGAUGAAAACAAUAGUAGUUUGUUGUUUUGGUCAUUCUUUGACUUGAUUUAUCAUCUAUCACUUUGGUAUGGGAAAUAACAUCUUUGGUAACAAUUUUCCUUUUUUCUUAAUUCUACUCAGAUUUGAUUUUCUA
Long non-coding RNA from Brassica napus (rape), 2179 nucleotides. RefSeq lists it as uncharacterized. The record is from RefSeq and is a predicted model, not a curated record. The transcript is spliced from 2 exons. NCBI's taxonomy places the organism in Eukaryota, Viridiplantae, Streptophyta, Magnoliopsida, Brassicales, Brassicaceae.